Molecule: ribosomal RNA, 614 nt
Filed under: Microcystis aeruginosa LEGE 12460
Lineage: Bacteria; Bacillati; Cyanobacteriota; Cyanophyceae; Chroococcales; Microcystaceae
Description: bacterial SSU rRNA
Rfam family: Bacterial small subunit ribosomal RNA
Source: RNAcentral
UAACGCGUGAGAAUCUAACUUCAGGACGGGGACAACAGUUGGAAACGACUGCUAAUACCCGAUGUGCCGCAAGGUGAAACCUAAUUGGCCUGAAGAAGAGCUUGCGUCUGAUUAGCUAGUUGGUGGGGUAAGAGCCUACCAAGGCGACGAUCAGUAGCUGGUCUGAGAGGAUGAGCAGCCACACUGGGACUGAGACACGGCCCAGACUCCUACGGGAGGCAGCAGUGGGGAAUUUUCCGCAAUGGGCGAAAGCCUGACGGAGCAACGCCGCGUGAGGGAGGAAGGUCUUUGGAUUGUAAACCUCUUUUCUCAAGGAAGAAGUUCUGACGGUACUUGAGGAAUCAGCCUCGGCUAACUCCGUGCCAGCAGCCGCGGUAAUACGGGGGAGGCAAGCGUUAUCCGGAAUUAUUGGGCGUAAAGCGUCCGCAGGUGGUCAGCCAAGUCUGCCGUCAAAUCAGGUUGCUUAACGACCUAAAGGCGGUGGAAACUGGCAGACUAGAGAUCAGUAGGGGUAGCAGGAAUUCCCAGUGUAGCGGUGAAAUGCGUAGAGAUUGGGAAGAACAUCGGUGGCGAAAGCGUGCUACUGGGGCUGGUAUCUGACACUCAGGGACGAA